UACAGAGGUCUCAAGCGUUGUUCGGAAUCAUUGGGCGUAAAGCGCGUGUAGGCGGCCAGAUAAGUCCGCUGUGAAAUCUCGAGGCUCAACUUCGAGCUGUCGGUGGAAACUGUCUGGCUAGAGUCCGGAAGAGGAGAAUGGAAUUCCUGGUGUAGCGGUGAAAUGCGCAGAUAUCAGGAAGAACACCCGUGGCGAAGGCGGUUCUCUGGGACGGUACUGACGCUGAGACGCGAAAGCGUGGGGAGCGAACAGG
This 253-nucleotide ribosomal RNA is filed under the name uncultured bacterium. Its description in RNAcentral is "partial 16S ribosomal RNA". It matches the Rfam family "Bacterial small subunit ribosomal RNA", at positions 524 to 776 of the family's 1533-position model. The record is from RNAcentral.